Molecule: ribosomal RNA, 824 nt
Filed under: Stypellopsis farlowii
Lineage: Eukaryota; Fungi; Basidiomycota; Agaricomycetes; Auriculariales
Description: LSU rRNA
Rfam family: Eukaryotic large subunit ribosomal RNA
Source: RNAcentral
GGCCGUCCGAGUUGUAGUCUAGAGAGGCGUCUUCCGCGUCGGACCGUGUACAAGUCCCUUGGAACAGGGCGUCAUAGAGGGUGAGAAUCCCGUCCAUGACACGGACUACCGGUGCUUUGUGAUGCGCCUUCAAAGAGUCGAGUUGUUUGGGAAUGCAGCUCAAAAUGGGUGGUAAAUUCCAUCUAAAGCUAAAUACAGGCGAGAGACCGAUAGCGAACAAGUACCGUGAGGGAAAGAUGAAAAGCACUUUGGAAAGAGAGUUAAACAGUACGUGAAAUUGUUGAAAGGGAAACGCUUGAAGUCAGUCGCGUCUGCCGAGACUCAGCCUUGCUUCUGCUUGGUGCACUUCUCGGUGGAUGGGCCAGCAUCGAUUUUGGUUGCCGGAUAAAGGCUGGAGGAAGGUGGCACCUUCGGGUGUGUUAUAGCCUCCUGUCGCAUACGGUGGCUGGGAUCGAGGACUGCAGCACGCCUUCAUGGUCGGGGUUCGCCCACGUCCCGUGCUUAGGAUGCUGGCGUAAUGGCUUUAAACGACCCGUCUUGAAACACGGACCAAGGAGUCUAACAUGCCUGCGAGUGUUUGGGUGGAAAACCCAGGCGCGUAAUGAAAGUGAAAAGUUGGGACUCCUUUAGGAGGCACUGACGCCCGAUCCUGACCUUCUGUGAUGGAUUUGAGGCAGAGCAUGUAUGUUGNGACCCGAAAGAUGGNGACUAUGCCUGAAUAGGGCGAAGCCAGAGGAAACUCUGGNGGAGGCUCGUANCGAUUCUGACGUGCAAAUCGAUCGUCAAAUUUGGGUAUAGGGGCGAAAGACUAAUCGAACCAUCUA